Molecule: ribosomal RNA, 268 nt
Filed under: uncultured prokaryote
Description: partial 16S ribosomal RNA
Rfam family: Bacterial small subunit ribosomal RNA
Source: RNAcentral
CAGCCGCCGCGGUAAUACGUAGGGACCAAGCGUUGUUCGGAUUUACUGGGCGUAAAGGGCGCGUAGGCGGCCCUACAAGUCACUUGUGAAAUCUCCGGGCUUAACUCGGAACGGCCAAGUGAAACUGUAGAGCUAGAGUGUGGAAGGGGCAAUCGGAAUUCUUGGUGUAGCGGUGAAAUGCGUAGAUAUCAAGAGGAACACCUGAGGUGAAGACGGGUUGCUGGGCCAACACUGACGCUGAGGCGCGAAAGCCAGGGGAGCAAACGGG